RNAcentral lists this unclassified non-coding RNA (408 nucleotides) under soil metagenome. Its description in RNAcentral is "partial contains 5.8S ribosomal RNA, internal transcribed spacer 2, and large subunit ribosomal RNA". The stretch from base 1 to 120 matches the Rfam family "5.8S ribosomal RNA", at positions 35 to 154 of the family's 154-position model. The record is from RNAcentral.
GAUGAAGAACGUAGCGAAAUGCGAUAAGUAAUGUGAAUUGCAGAAUUCAGUGAAUCAUCGAAUCUUUGAACGCACCUUGCGCUCCUUGGCAUUCCGAGGAGCAUGCCUGUUUGAGUGUCAUUAAAUUCUCAAGACCUGUCUGCUUUUUUGAUAGGUAUUGGAUUUUGGGGGUUGCAGGCUGUUUCAAAUAAAUAGCCUUGCUCUCCUUGAAUGUAUUAGUGGAGAAAAGCCAUUGAACUCCAUUGGUGUGAUAAAACCUAUCAAUGCCAGGAGCAAUAUCACUACUUCUCUCUGCUGUCUAACUGUGACUGUCUGUAUUAAUUAGUAUGGAUGGGGACAACUUGACCAACUUGACCUCAAAUCGGGUAGGACUACCCGCUGAACUUAAGCAUAUCAAUAAGCGGAGGA